Molecule: ribosomal RNA, 1467 nt
Filed under: Alcaligenes sp.
Lineage: Bacteria; Pseudomonadati; Pseudomonadota; Betaproteobacteria; Burkholderiales; Alcaligenaceae
Description: bacterial SSU rRNA
Rfam family: Bacterial small subunit ribosomal RNA
Source: RNAcentral
GCGAGAAGAGCUUGCUCUCUUGGCGGCGAGUGGGGGACGGGUGAGUAAUAUAUCGGAACGUGCCCAGUAGCGGGGGAUAACUACUCGAAAGAGUGGCUAAUACCGCAUACGCCCUACGGGGGAAAGGGGGGGAUCGCAAGACCUCUCACUAUUGGAGCGGCCGAUAUCGGAUUAGCUAGUUGGUGGGGUAAAGGCUCACCAAGGCAACGAUCCGUAGCUGGUUUGAGAGGACGACCAGCCACACUGGGACUGAGACACGGCCCAGACUCCUACGGGAGGCAGCAGUGGGGAAUUUUGGACAAUGGGGGAAACCCUGAUCCAGCCAUCCCGCGUGUAUGAUGAAGGCCUUCGGGUUGUAAAGUACUUUUGGCAGAGAAAGAAAAGGUAUCCCCUAAUACGGGGAUACUGCUGACGGUAUCUGCAGAAAUAAGCACCGGCUAACUACGUGCCCAGCAGCCGCGGUAAUACGUAGGGUGCAAGCGUUAAUCGGAAUUACUGGGCGUAAAGCGUGUGUAGGCGGUUCGGAAAGAAAGAUGUGAAAUCCCCAGGGCUCAACCUUGGAACUGCAUUUUUAACUGCCGAGCUAGAGUAUGUCAGAGGGGGGUAGAAUUCCACGUGUAGCAGUGAAAUGCGUAGAUAUGUGGAGGAAUACCGAUGGGCGAAAGGCACCCCCCUGGGAUAAUACUGGACGCUCAGACACGAAAGCGUGGGGGAGCAAACAGGAUUAGAUACCCUGGGUAGUCCACGCCCCUAAAACGAUGUCAACUAAGCUGUUGGGGGCCGUUAGGCCUUUAGUAAGCGCACCUAACGCGUGAAAGUUGCCCGCCUGGGGGAGUACCGGUCCGCAAGAUUAAAAACUCAAAAGGAAAUUGACGGGGACCCGCACAAGCGGGUGGAUGAUGUGGAUUUAAUUUCGAAUGCAACGCGAAAAAAAACCCUUUACCCUACCCCUUUGACAUGUCUGGGAAAAAGCCGAAAGAGAUUUUGGCCGUGCUCGCAAGAGAAACCCGGGAACACAGGGUGCUGGCAUGGGCUGUCCGUCAGCUCGUGUCGUGAGAUGUUGGGUUAAGUCCCCGCAAAAAGCCGCAACCCCCUUUGUAUUAUUUGCUUCGCAAGAGCACUCUAAUGAGACUGCCGGUGACAAACCGGAGGAAGGUGGGGAUGACGUCAAGUCCUCAUGGCCCUUAUGGGUAGGGCUUCACCCGUCAUACAAUGGUCGGUACAGAGGGUUGCCAACCCCCGAGGGGGAGCCAAUCUCAGAAACCCGAUCGUAGUCCGGAUCGCAGUCUGCAACUCGACUGCGUGAAGUCGGAAUCGCUAGUAAUCGCGGAUCAGAAUGUCGCGGUGAAUACGUUCCCGGGUCUUGUACACCCCGCCCGUCACACCAUGGGAGUGGGUUUCACCAGAAGUAGGUAGCCUAACCGCAAGGAGGGCGCUUCCCACGGUGGGAUUCAUGACUGGGGUGAA